CAAAGAUAUGCUUAUGUCGUAAACAUCUAACACUCACAAAAAUUUACCCAAAAACAAUGAGCCCUAAACCUUUUCUACACUAAGGUUCAUAUUCAUCGAUUUCUCCAAAGUAUCUCCCGUUCAUAUCAUCGAUUUGUCCCACUAAGUGGUUGUUUUGGGUGUGGAUUUGGUCGGUUCAAUACGAUUGUUUCAUGACACUCGUUGGAGCGUCGAGAAAGGGUGGGUUAAUGAACAAGUAAGAGAGCUAUAUCUAAGUUCAUCAGGAGAAAGUGAUUGUGAUGCAAGAGGAAACCAAUGCGAGGGAAAGUGAAAGAUCUGAAGCUAAAAUCUGUGAAGAAGUGCUUGGUAAAGCUUUCGGCUUCAACCAAAAUUUUGCAUUCUCGGUGACUCAGUAGCAAGAUACAACAGAUGCAACAGAGC
Molecule: long non-coding RNA, 420 nt
Organism: Pistacia vera
Lineage: Eukaryota; Viridiplantae; Streptophyta; Magnoliopsida; Sapindales; Anacardiaceae
Exons: 3
Source: RefSeq, a predicted model, not a curated record